Molecule: long non-coding RNA, 1121 nt
Filed under: Sus scrofa (pig)
Lineage: Eukaryota; Metazoa; Chordata; Mammalia; Artiodactyla; Suidae
Description: lncRNA (ENSSSCG00065073737.1)
Source: RNAcentral
ACAGGGCAGCCCGUCGGCCUCCGGAGAGCGGCGGCGAGCGGGUCCGAGGAGCACCGGGCUGCGGCUGGGGCGCGUUCUCUGCCCCGACCACCGCCCUCCCCGCCGAGCAAAGCCCCUACAGUCCCCGACGCCCGCGUGGAGAGUGGCCCAGAGAAGGCGCCCGGCCCGCCGCUGCUUCGCCCAAAGUUGCGGAAGCCCGAGCCCCCGCGGUGGGCUGGAGAGACGCGACGCGCUGCAGCUUGAGGAAGACUGUCCUCGGGCAACUGGCUCCAGGAGACAGAAGGUAAGAGUGAAGACACAUAUUGAAGUCAACAGGGCCACAAGAUGGAAGAAGCCAUGGUCCCUGAGUCACUGCAUGGCUUCAUGCUGCCAGAAGUAGCCCAAUCCAUGUGAAACUGUGACAUAAGAAAAACAGAAACUUUUAUUGUAUCAAGCAUUGAGAUACUGGGUUUCUUCUUACAGCUAAUGAUAAUUGCCCUGACUGGUACAUUUCACUGAGGAUAUAAAGUGCAUUAUACUAUAAACUCAUCUUUGGACUUUUUAAAAAUAGGCUCAUUGCAGUAUGAAUGACUUAUAAUAAACUGCACAUAUUCGAAGAUUAGUAAAUGAUGUGUCCACAUACUGUAUAUCCAUGAAACCAUAACCACAAUCAAAAUAACAAUCAUUUCUCUUACCCACAGUUGUCUCCUCGUUUCCCCUCUGAAAUCCUUUCCUUUCUACCCCUCCUUCCUCUCCACCCCCAUGUUUGCAUUUUCUAGAAUUUUUAUAUAAAUGGACUUAUACAGUAUCUAGUCUUUUUUCCAGCAUCUUUCACACAGCAUGGUGGUAUUGAGAUUCAUCCAUUUUGAUGAGUUUAUCAAGAGUCUGUUCAUUUCUGAAGUAUUCUGUCAUACAGGUGCACCAUAUUUAUUCAUCCUGCUGAUGGACAUUUGUGUUGUCCUUUGGACUAUCCCAAGGACACUAAAAUUUUUUCCUGUAUUUUCUUUCAUAAGUUUUAUGCUAUCAGCUCUUAUGUUUAGGUCCAUGAUCCAAAGGUAUGAGGUAUGGUAAUUAAGGUUUGUAUUUUUGCACAUGGCUCUCCAACUGUUCCAGCACCAUUUGUUGAAAAGAUUAUUCUUUCC